CUUGAAAAUUAGGGGAUGACGUGUGGAUAGGGGUGAAAGGCUAAUCAAGCCGGGAGAUAUCUGGUUCUCCUCGAAAGCUAUUUAGGUAGCGCCUCGAGCGAAUACCAUUGGGGGUAGAGCACUGUUAAGGCUAGGGGGUCAUCCCGACUUACCAACCCUUUGCAAACUCCGAAUACCAAUGAGUACUACUCGGGAGACACACGACGGGUGCUAACGUCCGCCGUGAAAAGGGAAACAACCCAGACCACCAGCUAAGGUCCCAAAGUCAUGGUUAAGUGGAAAACGAUGUGGGAAGGCAUAGACAGCUAGGAGGUUGGCUUAGAAGCAGCCACCCUUUAAAGAAAGCGUAAUAGCUCACUAGUCGAGUCGGCCUGCGCGGAAGAUGUAACGGGGCUCAAACCAUGCACCGAAGCUGUGGACUUGCAUUAUGUGCAAGUGGUAGAGGAGCGUUCUGUAAGCCUGCGAAGGUAGAUUGUGAAGUCUGCUGGAGGUAUCAGAAGUGCGAAUGCUGACAUAAGUAACGAUAAGGGGAGUGAAAAACUUCCCCGCCGGAAGACCAAGGGUUCCUAUCCCAUGCUAAUCAGGGUAGGGUAAGUCGGCCCCUAAGGCGAGGGCGAAAGCCGUAGUCGAUGGGAAACGGGUUAAUAUUCCCGUACCGACAGUACUGCGAUGGGGGGACGGAGAAAGCUAGGCAAGCAUGGCGUUGGUAGUCCAUGUGAAAGUACGUAGGCAGGGGGAUUAGGCAAAUCCGGUUCCCUAAUGCUGAGAUACGAGACGAGCCACUACGGUGGUGAAGUUGCUGAUGCUACGCUUCCAGGAAAAGCCUCUAAGCUUCAGGUACUGUUGACCGUACUCGAAACCGACACAGGUGGUCAGGUAGAGAAUACCAAGGCGCUUGAGAGAACUCUGGUGAAGGAACUAGGCAAAAUAGUACCGUAACUUCGGGAGAAGGUACGCUCUCUAGUGUGAAGGACUUGCUCCGUAAGCAUUGGAGAGUCGCAGUGACCAGCUGGCUGCAACUGUUUAUUAAAAACACAGCACUCUGCAAACUCGAGAGAGGACGUAUAGGGUGUGACACCUGCCCGGUGCCGGAAGGUUAAUUGAUGGGGUUAGCGCAAGCGAAGCUCUUGAUCGAAGCCCCGGUAAACGGCGGCCGUAACAAUAACGGUCCUAAGGUAGCGAAAUUCCUUGUCGGGUAAGUUCCGACCUGCACGAAUGGUGUAAUGAUGGCCAGGCUGUCUCCACCAGAGACUCAGUGAAAUUGAAAUUGCG
RNAcentral lists this ribosomal RNA (1272 nucleotides) under Cenchrus americanus (pearl millet). RNAcentral describes it as "bacterial LSU rRNA". It matches the Rfam family "Bacterial large subunit ribosomal RNA", at positions 788 to 2052 of the family's 2925-position model. The record is from RNAcentral. Lineage: Eukaryota; Viridiplantae; Streptophyta; Magnoliopsida; Poales; Poaceae.